Molecule: ribosomal RNA, 2436 nt
Filed under: Triticum aestivum (bread wheat)
Lineage: Eukaryota; Viridiplantae; Streptophyta; Magnoliopsida; Poales; Poaceae
Description: partial small subunit ribosomal RNA
Source: RNAcentral
AUGAAGAAGACUGUCUUCACUGCAACUUCUUGCAUUCCAAUUUUGAUCCUCCCAUUCCUGAGUUCACUCUGCCAAUCCGAUGACCAGCUCACACAUGCAAAGCCGCUCUCUGCCGGCGACACGCUCAUCUCCAAGGGCAGGGACUUUGCGCUGGGCUUCUUCUCCCCAAACAGCUCCAGCACAAGCUUGUACCUUGGCAUAUGGUACCACAACAUCCCUGGCCACACCGUCGUAUGGACCGCCAACCGCGACAAUCCGAUCGCCGCCACUUCAUCUCCGAUGCUUGCCAUCACCAACAGUUCUGACCUGGUGUUGUCUGACUCCCAAGGUGGCUCUCCCUGGGCGGUGAAGAACAACAUCUCGAGCAUGGGAGUUGUCGCAGUGCUGCUUGACACGGGGAACUUUGUCCUCCAGUCUCCAAAUGGCACAUCCAUAUGGCAGAGUUUUGAUCACCCGACGGACACCAUUCUCCCCGGUACUAGGAUCUACCUGAGCCAGAAGGCUCGUGUUGUCCGGCGUCUAAUUGCUUGGAAGGGCCCCACUGACCCAUCCACUGGAGAUUUUUCUUUGGGCCUUGACCCAAACUCGAACCUUCAGUUAGUCAUCUGGCACCGGACUAUGCCCUACCUCCGCCUCAAUAUUCUCGAUGAUGCCUCAGUAGGUGGCGGCAUAUACAAGAACACUAUCUUCUAUGAAGCGAUUGCUGGAACAAGCAGGGACGGGUUCUAUUAUGAAUUCUCUGUUUCUGAUGGCUCACCGUAUGCACGCCUUAUGCUCGACCACAUGGGUGCGUUGAGGACUCUUAGCUGGAACAACCACUCAUCUUGGACAACCGUCUUCGAGCACCCUGCUAGCAGCUGCGACCUCUAUGGUUCAUGUGGCCCAUUCAGCUAUUGCGACAACACUGGGGCUGCCGCGACAUGCCGUUGUCUCGAUGGGUUUGAAUCCGCUGGUCUUAACAUUUCGAGAGGAUGUAGAAGAACCAAGCAACUGGAAUGCGGCAAGCAAAGUCAUUUCGUGACCUUGCCUAAGAUGAAGUUACCUGACAAGUUUUUACAUGUCCUCAACAGAAGCUUUCACGAAUGCACGACUGAGUGCAGCAACAAUUGCUCAUGUACAGCCUACGCCUACACAAACUUGAGCAGUAACGGCGCUAUGGCCGACCAGUCAAGGUGUUUGCUUUGGACAGGGGAGCUUGUCGACACAGGGAAGUAUAGCAACUAUAACGACAACCUGCACCUUCGGCUUGCCAACUCUCCUGUUCGAAAGAAUAUCAAAUUGGUAAAAAUUGUAGUCCCAACCAUGGCUUGCGUGUUGAUACUCGCAUGCCUCCUUGUCGGGAUAUUCAAAUAUAGAGCAAGCAAACGAAAGAAGAGGAAUAUCAACAACGGAUCAAUGCUAGGAUACCUUAGCUUCUCUAAUGAAAUUGGAGGUGAACAUCUGGACUUUUCUUUUGUUAGCUUCGAAGAUAUUGCCACUGCAACCGAUAAUUUCUCUGAAUCUAAACAAAUUGGAAGUGGAGGUUUCGGCAAAGUUUACAAGGGAAUCCUUCAAGGGGACAAUGAAGUUGCUAUCAAAAGACUUAGUAAGGGUUCUGCUCAAGGGAUAGAGGAGUUCAGAAAUGAGAUAAUUCUAAUUGCAAAAUUGCAGCACAAAAACCUUGUUAGACUUCUUGGUUGCUGUAUUUUUGGAGAUGAGAGGUUACUUAUCUAUGAAUACUUACCAAACAAAAGCUUGGACGCCUUCCUUUUUGAUGAUAGAAGACAAUAUGUGCUUGAUUGGCCUACACGCUUCCAAAUAAUUAAAGGAGUGGCCAGAGGUCUUCUUUACCUCCACCAAGAUUCAAGAUUAACUGUAAUUCACAGAGAUCUCAAACCAAGCAACAUCUUGUUGGAUUCUGAAAUGACUCCCAAAAUAUCAGAUUUCGGUAUGGCAAGGAUCUUUGGUGGAAACAAACAAGAAGCAAAAACUACCCGGGUUGUUGGGACAUAUGGUUACAUGUCACCUGAAUAUGUUAUGGGAGGCGCCUUUUCUGUAAAAUCCGACACGUAUAGCUUUGGUGUUCUUCUCUUGGAGAUUGUAAGUGGCUUGAAGAUCACCUCACCGCAACUGGUAGAGAACUUUGUCAGCCUAACAACUUAUGCAUGGAGACUAUGGGCAGACGGAAAAGCAACAGAACUGGUGCACUCUUCAUUUGCUGAGAAUUGUUCACUAAAUGAAGUUCUACGGUGUAUUCAAGUCGGUCUCUUGUGUGUUCAAGACCGUCCGGAUGAUAGGCCACUCAUGUCAUCGGUAACUUUUAUGCUGGAGAAUGAAAGUGUGUCGCUUCCAGCACCAAAGCAGCCAGCAUAUCUUGGACUACAGAAUUUCGAAAGUGAAGAAUCAAGGGAAAACUCUGUGAAUACAGUGAGUAUCACAGCAGUCGAGGGGCGUUAA